This 492-nucleotide ribosomal RNA is filed under the name uncultured bacterium. RNAcentral describes it as "partial 16S ribosomal RNA". It matches the Rfam family "Bacterial small subunit ribosomal RNA", at positions 29 to 507 of the family's 1533-position model. The record is from RNAcentral.
AGUGAGCGCUGGCGGUAGGCCUAACACAUGCAAGUCGAACGGCAGCACAGUAAGAGCUUGCUCUUACGGGUGGCGAGUGGCGGACGGGUGAGGAAUACAUCGGAAUCUACUUUUUCGUGGGGGAUAACGUAGGGAAACUUACGCUAAUACCGCAUACGACCUACGGGUGAAAGCAGGGGAUCUUCGGACCUUGCGCGAUUGAAUGAGCCGAUAUCGGAUUAGCUAGUUGGCGGGGUAAAGGCCCACCAAGGCGACGAUCCGUAGCUGGUCUGAGAGGAUGAUAAGCCACACUGGAACUGAGACACGGUCAAGACUCCUACGGGAGGCAGCAGUGGGGAAUAUUGGACAAUGGGCGCAAGCCUGAUCCAGCCAUACCGCGUGGGUGAAGAAGGCCUUCGGGUUGUAAAGACCUUUUGUUGGGAAAGAAAAGCAGCAGGUUAAUACCCCGCUGUUCUGACGGUACCCAAAGAAUAAGCACCGGCUAACUUCGUG